This 253-nucleotide ribosomal RNA is filed under the name uncultured bacterium. RNAcentral's name for it is "partial 16S ribosomal RNA". It matches the Rfam family "Bacterial small subunit ribosomal RNA", at positions 524 to 776 of the family's 1533-position model. The record is from RNAcentral.
UACGGAGGAGGCAAGCGUUAUCCGGAAUUAUUGGGCGUAGAGCGUCCGCAGGUGGCACUUCAAGUCUGUCGUCAAAGACUGGGGCUUAACCCUGGAAAGGCGGUGGAAACUGAAGCGCUAGAGUGCGGUAGGGGUAGAGGGAAUUCCCGGUGUAGCGGUGAAAUGCGUAGAGAUCGGGAAGAACAUCGGUGGCGAAAGCGCUCUACUGGACCGCAACUGACACUCAGGGACGAAAGCUAGGGGAGCGAAUGGG